AAGAUGGUGAACUAUGCCGGGGCAGGGCGAAGCCAGAGGAAACUCUGGUGGAGGUCCGUAGCGGUCCUGACGUGCAAAUCGGUCGUCCAACCUAGGUAUAGGGGCAAAAGACUAAUCGAACCAUCUAGUAG
RNAcentral lists this non-coding RNA (131 nucleotides) under Ophiophagus hannah (king cobra). RNAcentral describes it as "Eukaryotic large subunit ribosomal RNA". It matches the Rfam family "Eukaryotic large subunit ribosomal RNA", at positions 820 to 950 of the family's 3401-position model. Lineage: Eukaryota; Metazoa; Chordata; Lepidosauria; Squamata; Elapidae. The record is from Rfam by way of RNAcentral.